This 558-nucleotide ribosomal RNA is filed under the name uncultured bacterium. Its description in RNAcentral is "partial 16S ribosomal RNA". It matches the Rfam family "Bacterial small subunit ribosomal RNA", at positions 355 to 902 of the family's 1533-position model. The record is from RNAcentral.
UGGGGAAUUUUGGACAAUGGGCGAAAGCCUGAUCCAGCAAUGCCGCGUGUGUGAAGAAGGCCUUCGGGUUGUAAAGCACUUUUGUCCGGAAAGAAAUCCUUGGCUCUAAUACAGUCGGGGGAUGACGGUACCGGAAGAAUAAGCACCGGCUAACUACGUGCCAGCAGCCGCGGUAAUACGUAGGGUGCAAGCGUUAAUCGGAAUUACUGGGCGUAAAGCGUGCGCAGGCGGUUUGCUAAGACCGAUGUGAAAUCCCCGGGCUCAACCUGGGAACUGCAUUGGUGACUGGCAGGCUAGAGUAUGGCAGAGGGGGGUAGAAUUCCACGUGUAGCAAGUGAAAUGCGUAGAGAUGUGGAGGAAUACCGAUGGCGAAGGCAGCCCCCUGGGCCAAAUACUGACGCUCAUGCACGAAAGCGUGGGGGAGCAAACAGGAUUAGAUACCCUGGUAGUCCACGCCCUAAAACGAUGUCAACUAGUUGUUGGGGAUUCAUUUCCUUAGUAACGUAGCUAACGCGUGAAGUUGACCGCCUGGGGAGUACGGUCGCAAGAUUAAAACUC